Long non-coding RNA from Sapajus apella (tufted capuchin), 3171 nucleotides. RefSeq lists it as uncharacterized. The record is from RefSeq and is a predicted model, not a curated record. The transcript has 3 exons. NCBI's taxonomy places the organism in Eukaryota, Metazoa, Chordata, Mammalia, Primates, Cebidae.
GUGCUGGGAUUACAGAUGUGAGCCACUGUGCCUGGCCUUAAUUUCCUCUUUUUAAAAGGACACUAGUCAAAUUGGAUUGGAACCUAUCCUAAUGGCCCUAUUUUAACUUAAUCUCCUCUUCAAUGAACCUUUCUCCAAAUGCAGUGACUUUCUGAAGUACUGCGGGGAAAGACUUCGACAUAGGAAUUUUGAGGGUCCCAAUUCAGCUCCAGACAGGCCCUAAUGGAAGCUCUGGCCACUGCGUCCAGCAGCAAUGUGACCCUGGAUGAGUCCUCGCUCACUGGGUUUUAGUUUUCUUAUCACCAGCAUGGUCGGGGGGGUAAUCAGACAAGCUUGCCCAGGGCCUUUACAGCUUGAAAACUCCACAGUGACCUAUAAAAGCAUCACUCCAGGAAGAUAUAUUGCUUUUGUGACCCAGGCAACACCACGAGGGCUUUCAGCGUUCAAGGCCACGCAGCCACAGCGCUCUGAUGUUUCUCAAUAUUUGACGACAAAUUUUAUGAUCCCUGUUGGCAGGUGAGACAUUUCUCCUCAGCUUGAAAGCAAUAGCAGUGUGGUCUCAGCGGGGAACAUCCUCAGAGAAAUGUUUGUUUUUUUCUCGUGUGUUCGGUUCCGAGGUGGAAGCCCCCAACCACUCAUUGAGGGAAGGGACGUGUCUGAUGCUUCUAAAUCAAACAAAGGCAUUUUCUUUUCAGGAUGGGUGUUUCUCUAUACACACACGAUUAAAGACCAAAGCCCAAACAGACCUACCGGGGAAUGAGAAAGGCUCAGCAAAGACAGCACAGCCCUCUUCUUGUGGGCACAAAGGUGGGCUGGCUAGUACCUGGCACUGCAUGGCCAGCCAGGAGCCCAUCUGUGACUUCCAGGAUCCCAAGAGUCACACAGGGCUGUGGGGGCUUCAAAAACAAGCCUGAAGCAGAGGCCCUUAGCCCAUCCUCGAUUGGGCAGCGGUGCGGUAGGGUUGGUAUUCUCCCCAGAGCUCUGCCUUCUGCUUUGCCACGCAGUAGCUGUAUUGGACCGGGCUGGUUUCCUUCCACAGGCGUGGACAGAGAGGAGAGGCAGGGCCCCCAGUGGGACCACGGGUCCCUCUCAUAGUCUCACCUUGGGUGAGUUGCUUUAUCCUUCUCCUCCCUUGAAGCUGGUCUUCAAAUCAGCUCCAUGUCUUUGUGCAGACACCUGUUUGGCUGUGUCUCUACCCAAAUCUCAUCUUUAAUCGUAGCUCCCAUAAUUCCCAUAUGUUGUAGGGGGACCUGGGGGGAGGUAAUUGAAUCAUGGGGAUGGGAUUUUUCCAUGCUAUUCUCGGGAGAGCAAUUAAGUUUCAGGAAAUCUGACGGUUUUAGAAAAGGCGGUUCUCCUGCACAUGCUCUCUUGCCUGCUGCCGUGUAGGACGUGCCUUUGCUUCUGCCUCACCUUCCACUGUGACAGUGAAUUCUCCCCAGCCAUGUGGAACUGUGAGUCCAUUAAACCUCUUUCUUUAUAAAUUACCCAGUUUGAGUAUGUCUUCACAGCAGUAUGAAAAUGGACUAAUUCAUGCAGAGAGCUGAACUUUCCAGAUUCCGAGUGUCCUAUAUCCAUGAAAUUGCAAUAUUGGCACCCAAGAGGCAGCUGGGAGGGAUAAACGGGGUCUUAUGUGCAGAGUUAGGUGUGAAAUACACAGCAGCUAGUGUUACAUUUUCUUUGAGCAUCCACUGAUUUGGGUCAAAUUGGACAUGUCUGGACAUGGAGGGGAAUUUCCUAUUGGGAAUACUACACGUAGCUCUUCUUGAGCUUAGCACGGUCCCCUCUGUAAUCAACAUAUAUGUAGGGUUUUACAGAUUCCACAGCACAGUUGCAUGCCUCAUCUCCUCUAACCCUCUCCAUUGUACUGUGAGAUCCAUCUUGUCACUUCUGUUUUACAUGAGGAAUAUCCUGAAUGAGGCGGGGGCUCAUGUGGAUCACCUGUCCAAGGCCCCUCAGUUCUAAGAGGGCAAGGAAAGACCUGAGGAUAAGCACAGACUGAUGGUCUGUACUUCUGUAGCCCAGAAACUAGGCUUGUUUUACAGUCUUUGUGUCUCACGAUUUUCUUGCAAAAAACCCUGUGUCCGGCUCUGUGCACACCCAGCACAGAAGCUGAGUGGGCUUCAGUUUAUCUGAGCAUGCUAGUUUCUAGUCCAUACUGGAGGGCUGUGUAAGCAUUUCAAGCUAGAGUGAUUAUUUGGCUUUAUUGAGGUGCGUCCUCCUUACCUCAUUAGUAAAAUCAUUCACGCACAAUCUGCUGAAGAGAAACAUGCAUUAAAAUCUGAGAUGGGCUGUGGCCCCAUGAGGCCAAAUUGUUCGAGGCUCUGUUUGGCCUAUUUUCAAUGUUUGCAAAGGACCCAGACCUGCUCCUGUCAUGGGAAACAAUAGAUGGAUUGAAAACUUCUAGAGUUGGAAUUCUAUAAGGCAUAGAACGUUGGUUUACGUGGAGUUAACCAAGAGAAAGUCCAAAGGAGUCAACUGUUGGUUUCCGCCUGGAAUUUUCUUAAUCCUGGUUAAAGCACCUAAGAUCUUUAUGGCUUCAGGCUGGGCCUUGAAGUGGUGGGAGAGGUAUCUCCUUUUCCAGCAGACUCGCCUCUCCAGCUGCAUACCACAGUUGUCCUAUCAGCAGGGCACUCGGCAUGUGGUUUUUGUCACGAGGAGAGGCAGUCAGGAAUUUGUACUUUGAUCUUCCCCACAGAGGUGGAUAUCUUCCCAGGACAAAGGGCAGGGAAACAGACACUCCAAAAUGCAUGUGACCUUGCAAACACCUGUUUAGGGCUCUGGCUUAAAUGGGGACGAUUGGAGGUGAAUGUGGAAAAUUAUUAAAAUGAAUGUAGGCCAUCAGCCUCAUCAACAGCCUCUUGAUGUAAAAUGGAGAUUAUAACAUUGACCUCAAAGAGAUGAUAAAAUUCAAUGAAAUAAUAUCUGCAAGAGGAUCGGCUCCUUGUAGAUGCACCAACAUUCUGUUUUCCAGUCAUCUGUGAGUUUCAACCACCAAAGCCACACUGUAUUCAUUUUAGUUCUCCCAGCGCCUGGCACAGAGGAAGUUCUCAGUGAGUAGUGGCUGAAGGAACGAAUAAUAAACGAUGGAUGGGGUCUUGCUCUGUUGCCAAGGCUGGACGCAGUGGUGUGAUCAUGGCUCACUGCGGCCUCGACCUCCUGGGCUCAAGCGAU